Molecule: ribosomal RNA, 170 nt
Filed under: Pterocaesio digramma (double-lined fusilier)
Lineage: Eukaryota; Metazoa; Chordata; Actinopteri; Lutjaniformes; Lutjanidae
Description: partial 12S rRNA
Source: RNAcentral
CACCGCGGUUAUACGAGAGACCCAAGUUGAUAGUUACCGGCGUAAAGAGUGGUUAAGACUAUACCUAACACUAAAGCCGAACGCCCUCAGAGCUGUUAUACGCAUCCGAAGGUAAGAAGCCCAAUCACGAAAGUGGCUUUAUAACAUCUGAAUCCACGAAAGCUAUGACA